Molecule: transfer RNA, 89 nt
Filed under: Pelolinea sp.
Lineage: Bacteria; Bacillati; Chloroflexota; Anaerolineae; Anaerolineales; Anaerolineaceae
Description: tRNA-Ser
Rfam family: tRNA
About the family: Transfer RNA (tRNA) molecules are approximately 80 nucleotides in length. Their secondary structure includes four short double-helical elements and three loops (D, anti-codon, and T loops).
Source: RNAcentral
GGAGAGGUGCCGGAGCGGCUGAUCGGGGCGGUCUCGAAAACCGCUGCAGCUCGUAAGGGCUGCCGAGGGUUCGAAUCCCUCCCUCUCCG